This is a long non-coding RNA of Callithrix jacchus (white-tufted-ear marmoset), 1746 nucleotides long. RefSeq lists it as uncharacterized. The record is from RefSeq and is a predicted model, not a curated record. Lineage: Eukaryota; Metazoa; Chordata; Mammalia; Primates; Cebidae.
GAAAUCUGAGGACAGAAUGAGCCUGCCAGCCAUGUCCUCCUGACAUUGCAAAUCUGGCCAAGAGAUGGGGCUGAACUUGCAAAUCCCUCUGGGGCUAUUCUCAGAAACCAAGUGAUGGGGAAACUUGACCUCAGCUGAUCUACCUGACACUCUGGGUUUCUCUACUGACCCUGACCAAGAAUGAAGUACAUCCAUGGGAGGCUAGAGAAAGGAGAAAUAAAUCCACCUGUCAUCAACUUGUCCAGAGCUCUCUCAAACCUGCUACCAGCCAAGUGGAAAACACUGAAAAGGGUCUGUGUGCAUGGGAAGAGAGAAUGACACUGCAGAACUUAAAAAAAGCACCUGAUGAUGCCUAGGAGCACACGUGUAACGCCUGAAGCUUCCUUGACAGAUCAGCUUCUGUUUGCAGCUCAGCAAACCAUAUGCUACAUUCACUCACUCCUCAAGAAUCAUCUGCUCCUUUCCAAGUAUUAAGAUGUCAGCGAAAAUCUACCUUCUGGUGAAAUUUAAUCUGCAAAAGAGCUGCUGGUGCUCAUAAAAAUAGCUGUCAGACAUUAUGACUCCUCUGAGACACGUACGACGAAGAAGGGGUCAUGGACCCCAGGGCAGGAGAGCAAAACUACUUAGAACCCUUAAAGACUGGGCAGCCCAGAAGUUCUCAACCUGGGGUCAGGAAGCCCUAAGCGGUCUAUGAGUGGGAUUCAGGAUAUCUGGAAAUUCCCUCAAAUUGAACAAAAAUGUUCAUUCAUUUGUGGGGGAGGGGAAACUUUUGUCAGAUUCUCAGAGGUUCAUGAACAAAAAUGAUUAAGUGUAUCAUAAUAUACCAUCAGUCUAGUACAUUAUUUCCACAGAUUUUUUUUUACUCCCCAAAAUUAUUUUUUAAUGCUCAAAAAAUACUUGGAUACUGAAUCUUAGCAGAAAUUUAAAAAUUAUAGAAAAAGCGGAGGUCUCUUUGUCCACACCUCCAUUCCAGAACUGUCUUCCCCCAGCACGUUUUACAUAGACCGCAAUGCUGUAUUUGAUCCGUGUGUGUGCAACUUGCCUUUGCAUUGCACAGUGUCUCGGGGGCAGUUCCACACAGGCGCAUGGAGAGCCACCUCAUCCUUGUCCCUUGCUGUCUAGUACUCCAUAGUCAAGCUGGGCUCAGGGUACGCAGGCAUUCCUCUACUGAUGACACUUCAGCUGUUUCCAGUUUCCUCCCAUUACAAACAGCAUGAUGAGCAUGAUGCAUAUGAGUAUCUUUUAUUCAUCAUUUUAUGCACUAGUACAAGUGCAUGUAUAUAUGUAUGUGUUUUUUUGAGGUAGUGUCUCAUUCUAUGGCCUAGGUUGGAGUGCAGUGGCACAGUCUCGGCUCAGUGCAACAUCUGCCUGCCAGGUUCAAGCAAUUCUCCCACCUCAGCCUCCCAAGUAGCUGGAACUACAGGUGUGCACAGCCACACCUGGCUAAAUUUUGUAGUUUUUUGGUAGAGUGGGGGUUUCACCAUGUUGGACAGGCUGGUCUGGAACUCCCAACCUCAUGUGAUCUGCCUGACUUGGCCUCCCAGUCUUGGAAUUACAGGUGGUACAAGUGUUUCUUCAGCAGAGAGGACAAGACGGGGAAUUGCUUGGUCCUGGGAUGUGCACAUUUAUAAUCUAUAAUUCAACUGACAAGCUCUCUAUAAAGUGGUUUACCACUCCACUAUUUGUAUAUAAAAUAUUUUCCUGUCUCCUACUGUCACACUGGAUAUUAUUGAUCACUUUAAUUUU